GUGGGGAAUCUUAGACAAUGGGGGAAACCCUGAUCUAGCCAUGCCGCGUGAGCGCUGAAGGCCUUAGGGUUGUAAAGCUCUUUCAGCUGGGAAGAUAAUGACGGUACCAGCAGAAGAAGCCCCGGCUAACUCCGUGCCAGCAGCCGCGGUAAUACGGAGGGGGCUAGCGUUGUUCGGAAUUACUGGGCGUACAGCGCGCGUAGGCGGACCAGAAAGUUGGUGGUGACAUCCCAGGGCUCAACCUUGGAACUGCCUUCAAAUCUCCUGGUCUGGAGUUCUAGAGAGGUGAGUGGAAUUCCGAGUGUAGAGGUGGAAUUCGUAGAUAUUCGGAGGAACACCAGUGGCGAAGGCGGCUCACUGGCUCGAUACUGACGCUGAGGUGCGAAAGCGUGGGGAGCAAACAGGAUUAGAUACCCGGGUAGUCC
RNAcentral lists this ribosomal RNA (425 nucleotides) under uncultured bacterium. RNAcentral's name for it is "partial 16S ribosomal RNA". It matches the Rfam family "Bacterial small subunit ribosomal RNA", at positions 354 to 796 of the family's 1533-position model. The record is from RNAcentral.